Long non-coding RNA from Venturia canescens, 294 nucleotides. RefSeq lists it as uncharacterized. The record is from RefSeq and is a predicted model, not a curated record. The transcript has 3 exons. Lineage: Eukaryota; Metazoa; Arthropoda; Insecta; Hymenoptera; Ichneumonidae.
UCGAGUUUUUCAUUCUCGAUUUUUCCAUCUAAUUAUGACGAGUUUAACAACUAAGGGGGGAGACUGGAUACCACGUUACGGUUGUGACAGUUCUCAUAUAAGCGAAAAUAUAUACAGGGAAUAGCGGGGAUGUGCAAGGGGACAAAGGAGCUGCUUUCAUGUCCGAAUUUCUCUGAAAGUACUCACAUUGGUUUUUGAUGGCGAAAAUAUGAUGUAGAGCAGAAGUUAAUUAACCGAAAGAGGGUGCCUGGAGACGGUGAAGAGCAUUGAGUGCUUCCAAUUUGAAAAUUAACA